Long non-coding RNA from Ictalurus punctatus (channel catfish), 2062 nucleotides. Lineage: Eukaryota; Metazoa; Chordata; Actinopteri; Siluriformes; Ictaluridae. The record is from Ensembl.
GACGGGCGGGCGGACAGACAGGUGAAUAAGGGGACAGGCGGCGGGCGGGCAGACAGACAGAGAGACGAAUAAGGGGACAGACAGACAGAGAGGGAGGUGAAUAAGGGGACAAGCGUGCACACAGAUUACCUUUACGGUAUUUGUCAGACGCCCAUUUAUCUCAUUCAUACAUCUGAGCAAUUGAGGGUUAAGAGCCCCACUCAAGAGCCCAAAAGUCCAGCUUGGCGGUGCUGGGGUUUGAACUCACAAUUGUCUGAGCAGUAGACCAACACCUUACCCACGAGGCCACCACUUACCCACGAGGCCACCACUUACCCACGAGGCCACCCUUUCUGUCAGAUACAUGGACUUGUAGAAAGAUGACAGGCAGGUAGUACAGACAGAGGGAUGGAUGGAUUAAAUGAUGGAUAAGGGGUGGAUAGAUGCAGAGGAAGGUAGAAGGAUGGGUGUACAGGUAGAUGUACAGAUGAACUAAGUGAUCUAUGAUGGAUGAGAAUGGUAGAGAGGUAUAUAAAGGGAUAGACAGACAAAUGGAUCGUUGGACAGACGAGGACGUAGAAGGAUGCAUGGAUGGAUAUAUGGUCUGAUUGAAACCGGACAGAUAAACGGAUAAAUAUAUGAACUGAUGAUGUAUAGGGGGACUGAUGAAACAGAUGACGGGGAGAUAAACAGACGGAUGGAUUAUUGGUCAGACAGAUGGCUAUGUAGACAAAUGGACUGAUUGCAUAUAGAGAUGGACGGAUGGAUGGACGGGUAAAGACACGGGUAGACGGGAGGACAGAGAGAAACAGACAGAGAUCGAUGGAUGGUCAGACAGACAGGUGGUUGUUUUGUGAAAUUACAGAGAGGGUUAUAGUUUGGGAAAUGAACCAGUGAGUCACUGCUUCACUGUUCAGGGAGUUUUUAGUUCCUCUUUUUCUCCUCGUUCCUUCUUUCUGUCAUUUUUCUAAUUGUAAUCUGAUUUCACUCAAGUGUUAAAACAUCAGACGUCAGUCUUGCGUAAACUCAGAGCUUCUGGUUUCUCAGACACAGAAAAACCGUUAUUCUGUAAGAGCUAUUAUGCGUGUCAGUAAUGUGAAUAUUUCUGAUGUCUGAUAAGAGUUCUCUCUCUCGCGCGCACGCGCGCACGCGCUCUCUCUCCUGACCAUCACACCUGUGAGCUCGUUGGACAUCUCAUUCCAAAACCCGACAUUUUGGAGUGUGUCUGUAGGAAUUUGUGCUCAUUCAGCCGCAAGAGCGUUCGAGAGAUCAGGCACUGAUGUUAAACCUGGAGUCCUGGCUCACAAUCCACCUUCCAGUAGGUGUUCAUGGGGUUGAGGUCAGGGAUCUGUGCAUGCCACUGGAGUUCCUCCACACCAAACUCAUUAACAUUAUCCUUCACUGGAUCUGAGGGGCCCAAACCCUGAAAAACAGCCCUGACCUACCAUCGUCCCACCUCCACCACACUGUGUUAGCACACUGUAUUCCAGUAGGAAGCGUUCUCCAGGCGUCCACCCAACCCAUACUCGUUCUCCAGGCGUCCACCCAACCCGUACUCGUUCUCCAGGCGUCCGCCAAACCCGUACUUGUUCUCCAGGCGUCCGCCAAACCCGUACUCGAUCAUACUGCCAGAUCGUGAAGUCUGAUUUCAUCACUCCAGAGAACACAUUUCCACUGCUCCAGAGUCGGUGCUUUAAACCACUCCAUCCAACGCUUAGCAUUACACACGGAGAGUGAUCUUAGGCUUGUGUGCAGCUGCUUGAUGAUGGAACCUGUUUCAUGUAGUUCUUGAUGCACGGUUCUUGUGCUGAUGUUGCUUCAAGAGGCAGUUUGGAGCUCUGUAGUGAGCGAUGCAACAGAGGACGGUGAUAUUUACGCUCUGUGCGCUUCAGCACUCGGCAGCCCCGCUCUGUGAGGUCAGAUGAGCUCUUGUUGCUCCUCGACGUUUCCGUUUCACAGUAAGAGCAAUUAGAGUCGACCGAGGCAGAUCUAACGGCAGAAAUUUCACCAGGGCCACGUCACCUUUUAAAGUCGCAGCCGUUCUACUGCCAGUGUGUGUCUGUGAAGACUGCUGGAUUUUUUU